RNAcentral lists this ribosomal RNA (439 nucleotides) under Euglesa personata. RNAcentral describes it as "partial large subunit ribosomal RNA". It matches the Rfam family "Bacterial large subunit ribosomal RNA", at positions 1889 to 2587 of the family's 2925-position model. The record is from RNAcentral. Lineage: Eukaryota; Metazoa; Mollusca; Bivalvia; Venerida; Sphaeriidae.
UUGAAAUUAAAGAUAUAAUUAAAAAUUUUUUUAAACGGCUGCAAUUAAUAGUUGUGCUAAGGUAGCGUAAUCAUUUGCCCCCUAAUUAGGGGAAGGUAUGAAUGGUUUGACGUGGGAAAAGCUGUCUCUUUUAUAUAAAAAGAAGUUUAUUUUUGAGUGAAAAAGCUUAAAUGUUUAUAAAAGACGAGAAGACCCUAUCGAACUUGAAUUGUGUAGUUAAAAUUUUAAAUGCAGAAAGUUUAGUUGGGGAAACUUAAAGUUAAAAGAAACGCUUUUUUGUUAUAAAAUGAUCCUGUAUUACAGAAAAAUGAAAAAGUUACCGUAGGGAUAACAGCGCUUUCUUCUCUGAGAGGACUAAUUAAAGAGUUGGUUGCGACCUCGAUGUUGGAUUAAGGUUUCUUUUUGGGGUAGGAGUUAAAAUAGUAAAACUGUUCGUUUU